Molecule: ribosomal RNA, 478 nt
Filed under: uncultured bacterium
Lineage: Bacteria
Description: partial 16S ribosomal RNA
Rfam family: Bacterial small subunit ribosomal RNA
Source: RNAcentral
GAUGAACGCUAGCGGCAGGCCUAACACAUGCAAGUCGAGGGAGAAGCCCUUUCGGGGGCAGAAACCGGCGCACGGGUGCGUAACGCGUAUGCAACCUACCUUUCACAGGGGGAUAGCCCGAAGAAAUUUGGAUUAAUACCCCAUAAUAUUAUUGGAUGGCAUCAUUUGAUAAUUAAAACUGCGGUGGUGAAGGAUGGGCAUGCGUCCUAUUAGCUAGUUGGAGUGGUAACGGCACCCCAAGGCUACGAUAGGUAGGGGUCCUGAGAGGGAGAUCCCCCACACUGGUACUGAGACAGGGACCAGACUCCUACGGGAGGCAGCAGUGAGGAAUAUUGGUAAAUGGUCGGAAGACUGAACCAGCCAUGCCGCGUGCAGGAAGAAUGCCUUAUGGGUUGUAAACUGCUUUUAUAUGGGAAGAAUAAGGUGUACGUGUACAUUGAUGACGGUACCAUAUGAAUAAGCAUCGGCUAACUCCGUG